Molecule: ribosomal RNA, 286 nt
Filed under: uncultured bacterium
Lineage: Bacteria
Description: partial 16S ribosomal RNA
Rfam family: Bacterial small subunit ribosomal RNA
Source: RNAcentral
AGUGAACGCUGGCGGCAGGCCUAACACAUGCAAGUCGAACGGCAGCACAGCAGUAGCAAUACUGUGGGUGGCGAGUGGCGGACGGGUGAGGAAUACAUCGGAAUCUGCCUAGUCGUGGGGGAUAACGUAGGGAAACUUACGCUAAUACCGCAUACGACCUACGGGUGAAAGCGGGGGAUCGCAAGACCUCGCGCGAUUAGAUGAGCCGAUGUCCGAUUAGCUAGUUGCGGGUAAUGGGCCCACCAAGGCGACGAUCGGUAGCUGGUCUGAGAGGAUGAUCAGCCAC